Molecule: small RNA, 165 nt
Filed under: Paenibacillus tuaregi
Lineage: Bacteria; Bacillati; Bacillota; Bacilli; Caryophanales; Paenibacillaceae
Description: ydaO/yuaA leader
Rfam family: c-di-AMP riboswitch aptamer (ydaO/yuaA leader)
About the family: This family represents a conserved RNA structure found upstream of the ydaO and yuaA genes in Bacillus subtilis and related genes in other bacteria. The ydaO/yuaA element is thought to act as a genetic "off" switch for the ydaO and yuaA genes in its native state.
Source: RNAcentral
UAAUGCCGAAACCAGAACAUGGUGCGGGGGAUGAUUUGCGGAUCAAGCUUAGGUACGAGAUGAGAUCAGAGCUUAUCCUUGGGGUGAAGUGCCGGUUAUCCGCGGCGCCGGGUUGUAUCCUCAAUCCGAAUCCGACAGCUAACUCCGCAGGCAUAGUUAAAAGGA